GAUGAACGCUGGCGGCGUGCUUAACACAUGCAAGUCGAACGGAAAGGCUCCUGCUUGCAGGGGUACUCGAGUGGCGAACGGGUGAGUAACACGUGGGUGAUCUGCCCUGCACUUCGGGAUAAGCCUGGGAAACUGGGUCUAAUACCGGAUAGGACGAUGGUUUGGAUGCCAUUGUGGAAAGUUUUUCGGUGUGGGAUGAGCUCGCGGCCUAUCAGCUUGUUGGUGGGGUAAUGGCCUACCAAGGCGUCGACGGGUAGCCGGCCUGAGAGGGUGUGCGGCCACAUUGGGACUGAGAUACGGCCCAGACUCCAACGGGAGGCAGCGGUGGGGUAUAUUGUACAAUGGGCGCAAGGCUGAUGCAGCGACGCAGCGUGGGGGAUGACGGCCUUCGGGUUGUAAACUCCUUUCGCUAUGGACGAAGCGAAAGUGACGGUACCUGGAGAAGAAGCACCGGCUAACUACGUG
RNAcentral lists this ribosomal RNA (465 nucleotides) under uncultured bacterium. Its description in RNAcentral is "partial 16S ribosomal RNA". It matches the Rfam family "Bacterial small subunit ribosomal RNA", at positions 28 to 507 of the family's 1533-position model. The record is from RNAcentral.